Molecule: transfer RNA, 76 nt
Filed under: Bacillota bacterium
Lineage: Bacteria; Bacillati; Bacillota
Also listed under: 2 other names
Description: tRNA-Arg
Rfam family: tRNA
About the family: Transfer RNA (tRNA) molecules are approximately 80 nucleotides in length. Their secondary structure includes four short double-helical elements and three loops (D, anti-codon, and T loops).
Source: RNAcentral
GCUCCCGUAGCUCAGGGGAUAGAGCGUCGGUUUCCGAAGCCGUGCGCCGGGCGUUCGAAUCGCCCCGGGAGCACCA